UACGUAGGGUGCAAGCGUUUGUCCGGAAUUAUUGGGCGUAAAGCGUGCGCAGGCGGUUCGUCGUGUCCGAUGUGAAAGCCCCGGGCUCAACCUGGGAAUGGCAUUGGAAACUGGCGGACUCGAGUGUGGCAGAGGGGGGUGGAAUUCCGCGUGUAGCAGUGAAAUGCGUAGAGAUGCGGAGGAACACCGAUGGCGAAGGCAGCCCCCUGGGCUAACACUGACGCUCAGGCAC
RNAcentral lists this ribosomal RNA (232 nucleotides) under uncultured bacterium. Its description in RNAcentral is "partial 16S ribosomal RNA". It matches the Rfam family "Bacterial small subunit ribosomal RNA", at positions 524 to 754 of the family's 1533-position model. The record is from RNAcentral.